RNAcentral lists this ribosomal RNA (484 nucleotides) under uncultured bacterium. RNAcentral describes it as "partial 16S ribosomal RNA". It matches the Rfam family "Bacterial small subunit ribosomal RNA", at positions 30 to 507 of the family's 1533-position model. The record is from RNAcentral.
AUUGAACGCUGGCGGCAGGCCUAACACGUGCAAGUCGAGCGGAUGAAGGGGGCUUGCUCCUGGAUUCAGCGGCGGACGGGUGAGUAAUGCCUAGGAAUCUGCCUGGUAGUGGGGGAUAACGUCCGGAAACGGGCGCUAAUACCGCAUACGUCCUGAGGGAGAAAGUGGGGGAUCUUCGGACCUCACGCUAUCAGAUGAGCCUAGGUCGGAUUAGCUAGUUGGUGGGGUAAAGGCCUACCAAGGCGACGAUCCGUAACUGGUCUGAGAGGAUGAUCAGUCACACUGGAACUGAGACACGGUCCAGACUCCUACGGGAGGCAGCAGUGGGGAAUAUUGGACAAUGGGCGAAAGCCUGAUCCAGCCAUGCCGCGUGUGUGAAGAAGGUCUUCGGAUUGUAAAGCACUUUAAGUUGGGAGGAAGGGCAGUAAGUUAAUACCUUGCUGUUUUGACGUUACCAACAGAAUAAGCACCGGCUAACUUCGUG